This 394-nucleotide unclassified non-coding RNA is filed under the name soil metagenome. RNAcentral describes it as "partial contains 5.8S ribosomal RNA, internal transcribed spacer 2, and large subunit ribosomal RNA". The stretch from base 1 to 121 matches the Rfam family "5.8S ribosomal RNA", at positions 35 to 154 of the family's 154-position model. The record is from RNAcentral.
GAUGAAGAACUUAGCGAAAUGCGAUACUUGGUGUGAAUUGCAGAUCCCGUGAACCAUCGAGUCUUUGAACGCAAGUUGCGCCCGAAGCCAUCAGGUUGAGGGCACGUCUGCCUGGGCGUCACAUAUCGUUGCCCAAUGCCUAUUGCAGUGCAAUAGGAAUUUCUAGGGCGAAUGAUGGCUUCCCGUGAGCGUUGUUGCCUCGCGGUUGGUUGAAAAUCGAGUCCUUGGUAGGGUGUGCCAUGGUAGAUGGUGGUCGAGUUAGAACGAUACCGAUCAUGUGCAUGCUCCCCAAAAUAUGGCCUCUAUGACCCACACGCGUCUUUUGACGCUCAUGACGAGACCUCAGGUCAGGCGGGGCUACCCGCUGAAUUUAAGCAUAUCAAUAAGCGGAGGA